RNAcentral lists this ribosomal RNA (111 nucleotides) under uncultured bacterium. Its description in RNAcentral is "partial 16S ribosomal RNA". It matches the Rfam family "Bacterial small subunit ribosomal RNA", at positions 1373 to 1482 of the family's 1533-position model. The record is from RNAcentral.
CCCGGGCCUUGUACACACCGCCCGUCACACCACGAAAGUUGGCAAUACCCGAAGCCGGUGGCCUAACCCGCAAGGAGGCAGCCGACCACGGUAGGGUCAGCGACUGGGGUG